UUCGGGGCAGAGCGCAGUUAUUAGACCAAAACCAGCCGUAUUCUUCGGGGUACGCUCUUUUGGUGACUCUGGAUAACCUUCAGCCGAUCGCAUGGCCUCGUGCCGGCGACGUAUCUUUCAAGUGUCUGCCCUAUCAACUUUCGAUGGUACGUGAUAUGCCUACCAUGGUGAUAACGGGUAACGGGGAAUCAGGGUUCGAUUCCGGAGAGGGAGCCUGAGAAAUGGCUACCACAUCCAAGGAUAGCAGCAGGCGCGCAAAUUACCCACUCCCAGCUUGGGGAGGUAGUGACGAAAAAUAACAAUGCGGGACUCUAAGAGGCCCCGUAAUUGGAAUGAGUACACCUUAAAUCGUUUAACGAGUAUCAAUUGGAGGGCAAGUCUGGUGCCAGCAGCCGCGGUAAUUCCAGCUCCAAUAGCGUAUAUUAAAGUUGCUGCAGUUAAAAAGCUCGUAGUUGGAUCUGGGGCUUGAGGUCGCUGUCUAUCGUUUCGGCGAUGACGGUGAUGCUCAGCUCUGCUUGCCGGUGACUGUUGCGGUGUUCUUCACUGAGCGCUGUAGCAGCACGGCACGUUUACUUUGAAAAAAUUAGGGUGCUCAAAGCGUGCUUGUCGCUUGAAUAAUGUUGCAUGGAAUAAUGGAAUAGGACCUCGGUUCUAUUUUGUUGGUUUUCGGAGCUUGAGGUAAUGAUUAAGAGGGACGAACGGGGGCAUUCGUAUUGCGGUGUUAGAGGUGAAAUUCUUGGAUCGCCGCAAGACGGACUACUGCGAAAGCAUUUGCCAAGAACGCUUUCAUUAAUUAAGAACGAAAGUCAGAGGUUCGAAGACGAUCAGACACCGUCCUAGUUCUGACCAUAAACGAUGCCGACCAGCGAUCCGUAGUGGUUGCCUUAUGGACCCUACGGGCAGCCUCCGGGAAACCAAAGUAUUUGGGUUCCGGGGGAAGUAUGGUUGCAAAGCUGAAACUUAAAGGAAUUGACGGAAGGGCACACCAGGAGUGGAGCCUGCGGCUUAAUUUGACCCAACACGGGAAAACUCACCCGGUCCGGACACCGUAGGAUUGACAGACUGAUAGCUCUUUCUUGAUUCGGUGGAUGGUGGUGCAUGGCCGUUCUUAGUUGGUGGAGUGAUUUGUCUGGUUAAUUCCGAUAACGAACGAGACUCUAGCCUGCUAAGUAGUGUUGCUAUUGUUAUAUGGUUGACACUUCUUAGAGGGACAAGUGGCAUUUAGCCACGCGAAAUUGAGCAAUAACAGGUCUGUGAUGCCCUUAGAUGUCCGGGGCCGCACGCGCGCUACACUGGAGAAGUCAGCGUGUGUUAUCCAAGUCCGAAAGGACUGGGUAAUCCGUUGAACCUUCUUCGUGCUUGGGACUGUGGCUUGGAACUAUUCCACAUGAACGAGGAAUUCCUAGUAAUUGCAAGUCAUAAGCUUGCGUUGAUUACGUCCCUGCCCUUUGUACACACCGCCCGUCGCUACUACCGAUUGAAUGGUUUAGCAAGGUCCUCGGAUCGUGGCCGUAGGGGCACGCAAGUGUUUCUGCGGUUUGCGAGAAGACGACCAAACUUGAUCAUUUAGAGGAAGUAAAAGUCGUAACAAGGUU
Molecule: ribosomal RNA, 1595 nt
Filed under: metagenome
Description: SSU rRNA
Rfam family: Eukaryotic small subunit ribosomal RNA
Source: RNAcentral